UACGGGGGGGGCAAGCGUUGUUCGGAAUUACUGGGCGUAAAGGGCUCGUAGGCGGCCAACUAAGUCGGAUGUGAAAUCCCCAGGCUCAACUUGGGAACUGCAUCCGAUACUGGAUGGCUUGAAUUCGGGAGAGGGAUGCAGAAUUCCAGGUGUAGCGGUGAAAUGCGUAGAUAUCAGGAGGAACACCGGUGGCGAAGGCGGCGACCUGGGACGAUACUGACGCUGAGGUGCGAAAGCGUGGGGAGCAAACAGG
This 253-nucleotide ribosomal RNA is filed under the name uncultured bacterium. RNAcentral describes it as "partial 16S ribosomal RNA". It matches the Rfam family "Bacterial small subunit ribosomal RNA", at positions 524 to 776 of the family's 1533-position model. The record is from RNAcentral.